GCGCGUAAACAUUGAUAGAUUUCGGCAUUUCUUCAGCUUCGUGCUCAUCGUCCUUCCUCUCUCCGCCUUCUGUUUCUCCGAAUCUCCGCUGCUGACGCAGCUUGGGAAAAAUUGGUAAAUGGAGAAAAUUUUUCCUACACUAUUCUAAUCUAUGUCCUUGCCCACCUUGUAGUGGCCGACUCUCAAUGGUAUUGUUUGUGCUGAGGAGAUCUGCGUCGCCCUUUCUUUGUAUGUCCUUGGCACCUCCA
Molecule: unclassified non-coding RNA, 248 nt
Filed under: Hevea brasiliensis (rubber tree)
Lineage: Eukaryota; Viridiplantae; Streptophyta; Magnoliopsida; Malpighiales; Euphorbiaceae
Source: RNAcentral